UCCGGUUUGUCACCGGCAGUCUGGCGUGAGUCCCCAACUUAAUGCUGGCAACACGCCACGGGGGUUGCGCUCGUUGCGGGACUUAACCCAACAUCUCACGACACGAGCUGACGACAGCCAUGCAGCAUCUGUGGUGCACCCUCGAAGGUCACACGUUUCCGGGGCGGUCAGGAACAUGUCAAGCCCAGGUAAGGUGGGGAUGACGUAGUACACCUGAAC
This 219-nucleotide unclassified non-coding RNA is filed under the name uncultured Rubrobacterales bacterium. Its description in RNAcentral is "contains 16S-23S intergenic spacer region". The record is from RNAcentral. Lineage: Bacteria; Bacillati; Actinomycetota; Rubrobacteria; Rubrobacterales.